GCGGUUACUGAAUUGUCAAACAUCAACUUUUGACAAUCAGAGUUAGCACGAAAUGUAUGGAGCUGUACAGGGCCAUCUCGUUUACCCGUCAAAAUCGAAGCACGAAAUUGUUUUAGAUUUGACACCUCUUACUCAAUCAAUGUACUUAUCUUUGCUAAAAGCAAGUGUUCUUUCAUUUAAAUCGACCAAGUAAUGUUUUUUCGCAAGAUGUGAAACACUGAAAUCGCAAAUUCAAUUUAUAAAUAUUUUAUGCUCUAUGUAAAUGUAUAUUUUUUUUACAAUUUCCUUUUUAUCUCUGGAACAACAGGAGAGAUGACUAAAUCUGUCUUUAUGGCCCGGCAUAUCGCCAAGUCCGUAGCCUUUUGCCUACCCACAACAAAGAGUCCAAAAAACGAGCUACAAAUCUUCCUGCAUUAGCAAUUUAGGCUCAUAGAUACCUUACAAACUAACAUACAUACAAUAAAAAAAUCCACCCACAACUGAAGUAAAAGUACGUCGUCGUCCAUCAAAGGUCGAACACAACGUUAACAAUGCAUGCACCUAGCUGGCUGCCCUUAAUGGCUUUUCACAAGGAAUCGAUAAUCCCAAGGCGUGGACCCCAUUUCAGGGGGUAUUUUUGGUAGAGAGUGGGCACUACGGCUUGCGUGAUUCACGUGGUACUGGUAAGGUAGGUAGGAAUGAUUUUAACUAAUGACAGGGGUUACCAAGUAGCAAUGAUAACAUAAACAAACAUGCGUUAGUUAGGAUAUCCCCUAUAUUAUGUGUGUUGUUAAACUCUUCUGCCCCUGAAUAUUAAAUUUAAUUUUGAUUAUUCGACUCGGAACAUCAAUCGAUAUUAUACUACCUAACUUUUAGCUACCAUAGUUUAUUAUUAGUAUUCAUUUUAAACUUUAUUGAUCAUCAAUAAAGGUACACAUGACGAA
Cydia pomonella (codling moth) is the source of this 923-nucleotide long non-coding RNA. RefSeq lists it as uncharacterized. NCBI's taxonomy places the organism in Eukaryota, Metazoa, Arthropoda, Insecta, Lepidoptera, Tortricidae. The record is from RefSeq and is a predicted model, not a curated record. The transcript is spliced from 3 exons.